Molecule: long non-coding RNA, 555 nt
Organism: Aedes aegypti (yellow fever mosquito)
Lineage: Eukaryota; Metazoa; Arthropoda; Insecta; Diptera; Culicidae
Exons: 2
Source: RefSeq, a predicted model, not a curated record
CUCCGAUUUGGUGCUGCGAAGUCAAUAUUUAACAUUUUUUCUCUUGGUGCAACUUUUAAAGCACACUAAAAAUAAAUUAGUUACAAUAGAGUUAGCAAUAAUUUGGCAUUUGGCUGACAUCGACAGAAUUUGUUUGUUUUGGCAAUUAGCUAUAAAUAUUGAUUGGUACGACACAUUUCGCGGCAGGUAGUGGGCUGUUUGGCCAAAUCAAAAAUUCUAAGUGAAAUUUAAGAAAUUCCAAAGCCCCAGACCUGCCGCACAGUUGAUUCAUCGAGCAAUAGCAACAUUAGGAAAUUCAAGAAAUGGACCGCAAAAACAUGCUCAAACUCCUAGUCGGAACCGUGGUAACGCUGCAUCUGGGCUUUUACUUCGUGAAGCCGCUCAUUCUGCCUCCCACGGACCAAAGUCGAACCUCUUCCCUUCCCGAGCGACCUUCCUAUCGCUAAAAUCGCUAUAAUCAGAGGACAAUGGACAGCUGUGAUAUCUUACAAGCAAAAACUGAGUGAUAGCUCUGAUUAUGUUGAAGAUUGAAAUGUAAUAUAAUUGUUUGAAAAA